Molecule: ribosomal RNA, 253 nt
Filed under: uncultured bacterium
Lineage: Bacteria
Description: partial 16S ribosomal RNA
Rfam family: Bacterial small subunit ribosomal RNA
Source: RNAcentral
UCCGUAGGGUGCGAGCGUUGUCCGGAAUUAUUGGGCGUAAAGGGCUCGUAGGCGGUUUGUCGCGUCGGGAGUGAAAACAUCGGGCUUAACUCGGUGCUUGCUUCCGAUACGGGCAGACUUGAGGCAUGCAGGGGAGAACGGAAUUCCUGGUGUAGCGGUGAAAUGCGCAGAUAUCAGGAGGAACACCGGUGGCGAAGGCGGUUCUCUGGGCAUGUUCUGACGCUGAGGAGCGAAAGUGUGGGGAGCGAACAGG